AGGAUGAACGCUGGCGGCGUGCUUAACACAUGCAAGUCGAACGAUGAAGGCUGGAGCUUGCUCUGGCUGGAUUAGUGGCGAACGGGUGAGUAACACGUGAGUAACCUGCCCCAGACUCUGGGAUAAGCGCUGGAAACGGCGUCUAAUACCGGAUACGAGCUUCCACCGCAUGGUGAGGAGCUGGAAAGAAUUUCGGUCUGGGAUGGACUCGCGGCCUAUCAGCUUGUUGGUGAGGUAAUGGCUCACCAAGGCGACGACGGGUAGCCGGCCUGAGAGGGUGACCGGCCACACUGGGACUGAGACACGGCCCAGACUCCUACGGGAGGCAGCAGUGGGAUAUUGCACAAUGGGCGCAAGCCUGAUGCGAGCAACCGCGCGGUGAGGACGAAGGCCGUUCGGUUACGUAAACCGUUCGUUUUAGUUAGGAAAGAAGACGGAAAGUGACGGUACCUAGGCAAGGUAAAAGCCGAACCGGACUAACCGUACGUCGACCCAG
This 496-nucleotide ribosomal RNA is filed under the name uncultured soil bacterium. RNAcentral's name for it is "bacterial SSU rRNA". It matches the Rfam family "Bacterial small subunit ribosomal RNA", at positions 26 to 538 of the family's 1533-position model. The record is from RNAcentral.